ACUAAUAAGGCCACAACACUCAAGGACGUGGUGGGCGGUGUCGUGGAGGUGCUCCCGGUAAACAAGCUGGCCACCAGGGAGGACGCCUAUAAGAACGACAGGAGGCAUGCCAGUGGCGGCAGGGAGCUAACACGAUCCAUUCAAUCCCGAUCCGAGUCGAUCAGGAAUCCAAUCCCGCACCGUGCAGAUGUGUUUUUCUUUUCCGCGGGGAAAGCGAUCACCGAUGGUAGGGACAAAGUGCGUGCGAGAACGCAUUCUACAAAGUCCAGAUUAGUCCGGAGCAAGCCAGGAGUCCAGGUUUAUUCACAAAGACCCAUUCUACAGCCAGGAGUCCACGUCCUUCCACACCUUUUCCUACUCUCCUUUUUUUUUCUUUCAUUGAAACCUUUCGCUAUAUAUUUCUAG
This 405-nucleotide long non-coding RNA is filed under the name Oryza sativa aromatic subgroup. Its description in RNAcentral is "lncRNA OsARC_10g0006040". The record is from RNAcentral. Lineage: Eukaryota; Viridiplantae; Streptophyta; Magnoliopsida; Poales; Poaceae.